GCCCUUAGAGUUUGAUCCUGGCUCAGAUUGAACGCUGGCGGUAUGCUUAAGACAUGCAAGUCGGACGGGUGUAGAAAUACAUUAGUGGCGGACGGGUGAGUAACGCGUGAGAAUCUACCUUCAGGACGGAGACAACAGUGGGAAACGACUGCUAAGCCCCGAUGUACCGAAAGGGAAAAUAUUUAUAGCCUGAAGAAGAGCUCGCGUCCGAUUAGCUAGUUGGAGAGGUAACAGCUCACCAAGGCGACGAUCGGUAGCUGGUCUGAGAGGACGAUCAGCCACACUGGGACUGAGACACGGCCCAGACUCCUACGGGAGGCAGCAGUGGGGAAUUUACCGCAAUGGGCGAAAGCCUGACGGAGCAAGACCGCGUGGGGGAAGAAGGCUCUUGGGUUGUAAACUCCUUUUCUCUGGGAAGAACAAAAUGACGGUACCAGAGGAAUCAGCAUCGGCUAACUCCGUGCCAGCAGCCGCGGUAAGACGGAGGAUGCAAGCGUUAUCCGGAAUGAUUGGGCGUAAAGCGUCCGCAGGUGGCAGUUCAAGUCUGCUGUCAAAGACCGGGGCUUAACCUCGGAAAGGCAGUGGAAACUGAACAGCUAGAGUAUGGUAGGGGCAAAGGGAAUUCCUGGUGUAGCGGUGAAAUGCGUAGAGAUCAGGAAGAACAUCGGUGGCGAAGGCGCUUUGCUGGACCAUAACUGACACUCAGGGACGAAAGCUAGGGGAGCGAAUGGGAUUAGAUACCCCAGUAGUCCUAGCCGUAAACGAUGGAUACUAGGUGUUGUCUGUAUCGACCCGGACAGUGCCGUAGCUAACGCGUUAAGUAUCCCGCCUGGGGAGUACGCAGGCAACUGUGAAACUCAAAGGAAUUGACGGGGGCCCGCACAAGCGGUGGAGUAUGUGGUUUAACUCGAUGAUACGCGAGGAACCUUACCAGGGCUUAAAUGGGAAUUGACAGGCGUAGAGAUAUGCUUUUCUUCGGACAAUUUUCAAGGUGCUGCAUGGUUGUCGUCAGCUCGUGCCGUGAGGUGUCAGGUUAAGUCCUAUAACGAGCGUAACCCCUGUCGUUAGUUGCCAGCGAGUGAUGUCGGGAACUCUAACGAGACUGCCGGUGCAAACUGUGAGGAAGGUGGGGAUGACGUCAAAUCAUCACGGCCCUUACGUCCUGGGCUACACACGUGCUACAAUGGGCGGUACAGAGAGCAGCCACUGCGCGAGCAGGAGCCAAUCUAUAAAGCCGUUCACAGUUCGGAUCGGAGUCUGCAACUCGACUCCGUGAAGCUGGAUUCGCUAGUAAUCGCAGAUCAGCCAUGCUGCGGUGAAUACGCUCCCGGGCCUUGUACACACCGCCCGUCAAGCCAUGGAAGCUGGGGGUACCUGAAGUCGGUGACCGCAAGGAGCUGCCUAGGGUAAAACUGGUAACUAGGGCUAAGUCGUAACAAGGUAACCAAGGG
RNAcentral lists this ribosomal RNA (1451 nucleotides) under uncultured bacterium. RNAcentral describes it as "partial 16S ribosomal RNA". It matches the Rfam family "Bacterial small subunit ribosomal RNA". The record is from RNAcentral.